UCUGCAAUGGGAAAACAGGAGAUGGAGCCUAUUCUCCCUGCACGUCCCUGAGGAACAUACCAUGGAUGUACCAGUUGAAAGUACAGGACUUGGCAUCCAGACAGGGCUGGGCUACGGAGCACUGAAAUGCCUCUAAGGAUUAGUCAAAGGCUGGUUCAUCCCUUUUCUGCUGAUUGGUGCUGACCAAAACAUGCCUGUCAUUCAAGUACUGCUCUACCCCAGCCCUGCUUGACUCAGAAACUUCUUGGGUUCCUUUUUUCAGAAGCUGUGUUACUUUUGAAGGAGCUGAGACUGGGAGAUGGCACUUUGACAGGCUUCUUAAGAAGAGCAAGAAGCUGAAAUCAGAAGGAAGCGAAGCUCACUCAUCAUCUGGCAGAGCAAGAGAUGCUGGGAGAGUUCAGAGCUCAAAACUGCUUCUCCCAUAUGACCCAGGGAUGGAUGAGAUGCUGCCUCCCAUGAUAUCACCUUCCCAGCUCUCCAGAAAGUGGCUAGAGAUCUGGUAGGGGUGGAUGGGGUUGGAGGGAACCAAUGGUUACAGUAAGUAGAACUUUUUUCUGCAUCCCAAGCGAGAAUUAAAUAAAAGCCCAGAUGCUUUUGUCCUUUUUAAAUAAUUUUCAAACUCUGCUUAGCACUCCCGAGAGGUUUAUAUCAUCAGUUUAAUAGCUUAGACUACUAUCAGCUCAAGCUACUGGUUCGACUCCAGUUAAAUGGUAGUGCCUAAUUCAGGUUUUGUAUCUCCUCUUGUGAUCAGACUUUCUGGUCACCCACAUUAAGAUAAUACCCCCUCAGAUGGUGAAUUAGCAUCAGGUUUAGGUAGUGUCCCAAAGGAGAAAGUGUUG
Molecule: long non-coding RNA, 839 nt
Organism: Oxyura jamaicensis (ruddy duck)
Lineage: Eukaryota; Metazoa; Chordata; Aves; Anseriformes; Anatidae
Exons: 3
Source: RefSeq, a predicted model, not a curated record